GACGAACGCUGGCGGCGUGCUUAACACAUGCAAGUCGAACGAUGACGACCGAGCUUGCUCGGUCUGAUUAGUGGCGAACGGGUGAGUAACACGUGAGCAACCUGCCCUUCACUCUGGGAUAACCUCGGGAAAUCGGGGCAAUACCGGAUAUGAGCUCCUGUCGCAUGGCGGGUGUUGGAAAGUUUUUCGGUGAAGGAUGGGCUCGCGGCCUAUCAGUUUGUUGGUGAGGUAGUGGCUCACCAAGGCGAUGACGGGUAGCCGGCCUGAGAGGGCGACCGGCCACACUGGGACUGAGACACGGCCCAGACUCCUACGGGAGGCAGCAGUGGGGAAUAUUGCACAAUGGGCGAAAGCCUGAUGCAGCGACGCCGCGUGAGGGAUGACGGCCUUCGGGUUGUAAACCUCUUUCAGCAGGGAAGAAGCGAAAGUGACGGUACCUGCAGAAGAAGCGCCGGCUAACUACGUG
Molecule: ribosomal RNA, 466 nt
Filed under: uncultured bacterium
Lineage: Bacteria
Description: partial 16S ribosomal RNA
Rfam family: Bacterial small subunit ribosomal RNA
Source: RNAcentral